UUCCCCCUGCUGUCUCUCUGCCUCGUUAGUCCUGAUCCCGCUCACCUGUGUUGCUCCCGCCCCGCUUGUUAGUCCCUGUGUAUAUGUAUGCCUGCUUGUCUCUCCAGUCUUUGUCACGUCCUUGCGUCUAAAGUUGAGUGUUCCUGCUUGUUCCCUGUCUUCGUAGUUCUGGAUUAUUCCCUGUGUUUUGGAUCGCCUUGUGUUCUGGACUACCUUUGUUGGACUUUGCCUCGAGCUCCUUAUGUGUUUGAAGUCAGGUUUGAAGAGACCAAUCAGGGCUCGGUUACCGUGGGCUGAUGGUGGAUCCAGUCGGUACCCUGACCCGCAGACAAACCUGUCGCUGUCUCCUCCCCCACAAGUGGGUCUGAGGGCCGUCCACAUACUUUUGGCCACAUGCCAGCAGCUUCUGCAGCUGGACAGGUGAAAGGUGUCAGGUGACCACCCGGACCAGUUUUCACCACUGCAGAGUCCCAGGUUCUGGUUCUGUUCAUCAGGUGAUCACUGUGUGUUGAUCAGUUUCUGGGAUGAAGUCAGACACGGCAGGUUUGAUGCUGAAUCAAGCUUUAUUCAAAAUGACCAUGCAGCACAAUAACAGGUCCUUGCUUUGACUUUUGGGAAAAUAAAAAUGUUGUGAAUUCACA
This is a long non-coding RNA of Micropterus salmoides (largemouth bass), 641 nucleotides long. RefSeq lists it as uncharacterized. Lineage: Eukaryota; Metazoa; Chordata; Actinopteri; Centrarchiformes; Centrarchidae. The transcript is spliced from 4 exons. The record is from RefSeq and is a predicted model, not a curated record.